Molecule: non-coding RNA, 621 nt
Filed under: Pongo abelii (Sumatran orangutan)
Lineage: Eukaryota; Metazoa; Chordata; Mammalia; Primates; Hominidae
Source: RNAcentral
CACCAUCUCCGGACGCAAGGCUUUCGCAUUCAGCUUGAGGAGCUAAACCAUUUCAAGCUAAGGUCUCUUCACAGAUUAGGAUAAAGGAUGAAGAGAAGUAAACUGAAUUACUAAGGAUGCAACAUUAAUGGAGAGAGCCAAGUGAUGUAAAUGGUGGCUGGCCACGAGUGGAUCUUGAGUGAAAGUUAGCUAGAGAAAUUCCACGUGGCUGAUCCAGGAUGGAUUAGGCUGCCAAUGACUCUCUUUCUCCCUCAAGCUGGAAUCCUGCCCCUUUAACACCUUUCCAGAGAGAGGCAACCCAUGGAGGGUCACAGCAAGAUGGGAUGGUUGUGCCUGGUAGUAAAAAUAUGUAUCACCCUUCAUUUCAUCCAGCUUUGAAGCUUCUGCUAGCAGCUCACACAUGCCCCCAAGGGCAGCUCCUCAAAUCUGCUAAAGAAAAGUUAAGUAGAAUUAAUUUUGUUCAAUAUCUCCCAUUUUGUGAGAUUCAUCAUUUUCAGUCAAGAAUGACAAUAUUAAUGGAACCAAAAGAAUAUAUACUAUUAACAUUUCGUCUUAAUUCUACAAAUGUCUAAAAGUCUCUGCAAUUCCCUUAAAAAUAAAAAAAAAUGCAAUAUUAAUUUA